GCCUACGGGACGCAGCAGUGGGGAAUAUUGGACAAUGGGGGGAACCCUGAUCCAGCGACGCCGCGUGAGUGAAGAAGUAUUUCGGUAUGUAAAGCUCUAUCAGCAGGGAAGAAAGAAAUGACGGUACCUGACUAAGAAGCCCCGGCUAACUACGUGCCAGCAGCCGCGGUAAUACGUAGGGGGCAAGCGUUAUCCGGAUUUACUGGGUGUAAAGGGAGCGCAGGCGGGAAGCCAAGUCAGCUGUGAAAACUACGGGCUUAACUUGUAGACUGCAGUUGAAACUGGUUUUCUUGAGGGAAGU
RNAcentral lists this ribosomal RNA (301 nucleotides) under uncultured bacterium. RNAcentral's name for it is "bacterial SSU rRNA". It matches the Rfam family "Bacterial small subunit ribosomal RNA", at positions 337 to 652 of the family's 1533-position model. The record is from RNAcentral.